GGCAUGGGGAGGCGAGCAGUUUCAGGAGAUGCCUAUUCGAGUCAUCGGCAGCCGCGCCUGUUCAUUUUUGGGAAGAGGAAAUCAUAAUUUCGAUGGAGGGGAUCACAGAAAGGUGAGUCGUCAUGUUUGGUGUUUGAUCCAGUGGGAAGCGGAAAUCAUAAUCAUGAUGGAGGGGAUCACAGAAAUUGGCGCGGAAGUGGGGGUUUAUGAUUUGGCAUGGGGACUUGCCUGACAGAUGCAAACGCGGGGGGGGGGCUUGUCGGCUAUCCCCCACAUGGAGUUCGCCGAAUCUGCCUGCCCUCGCGGUGUAA
Long non-coding RNA from Phragmites australis (common reed), 311 nucleotides. RefSeq lists it as uncharacterized. NCBI's taxonomy places the organism in Eukaryota, Viridiplantae, Streptophyta, Magnoliopsida, Poales, Poaceae. The transcript is spliced from 3 exons. The record is from RefSeq and is a predicted model, not a curated record.